GAUGAACGCUGGCGGCGUGCCUAAUACAUGCAAUCGAACCAAACUUCUUUUUCACCCAGUGCUUGCACUCACCGAUUAAGAGUUUAGUGGCGAACGGGUGAGUAACCCGUUGGCCACCUUCCCAACAGAGGGGGAUAACACUUUUAAACAGGUUCUAAUUCCCCCUUACCAUUAUUUCCGCAUGGUUACUUUUUUACAGGUGGCUAUACUACCCCUUUUGGAUGGUCUCGCGGCGCCUUAGCCAGUUGGUUGGGGAAAGGCUUAACAAGGCAAUGAUGAGUAGCCGAAUUGAGAGGUUGAUCGGCCACAUUGGAACUGAGAAACGGACAAAACUACUACGGGAGGCAGCAGUAGGGAAUCUUCCACAAUGGGCGAAAGCCUGAUGGAGCAACGCCGCGUGGGUGAAGAAGGUCUUCGGAUCGUAAAACCCUGUUGUUAGAGAAGAAAGUGCGUGAGAGUAACUGUUCACGUUUCGACGGUAUCUAACCAGAAAGCCACGGCUAACUACGUG
RNAcentral lists this ribosomal RNA (511 nucleotides) under uncultured bacterium. Its description in RNAcentral is "partial 16S ribosomal RNA". It matches the Rfam family "Bacterial small subunit ribosomal RNA", at positions 28 to 507 of the family's 1533-position model. The record is from RNAcentral.